AGUGAACGCUGGCGGUAGGCCUAACACAUGCAAGUCGAACGGCAGCACAGGAGAGCUUGCUCUCUGGGUGGCGAGUGGCGGACGGGUGAGGAAUACAUCGGAAUCUACCUUUUCGUGGGGGAUAACGUAGGGAAACUUACGCUAAUACCGCAUACGACCUACGGGUGAAAGUGGGGGACCGCAAGGCCUCACGCGAUUAGAUGAGCCGAUGUCCGAUUAGCUAGUUGGCGGGGUAAUGGCCCACCCAGGCGACGAUCGGUAGCUGGUCUGAGAGGACGAUCAGCCACACUGGAACUGAGGCCCGGUCCAAGCUCCUACGGGAGGCAGCAGUGGGGAAUAUUGGACAAUGGGCGCAAGCCUGAUCCAGCCAUAGCGCGUGGGUGAAGAAGGCCUUCGGGUUGUAAAGCCCUUUUGUUGGGAAAGAAAUCCUGUCGAUUAAUACUCGGUGGGGAUGACGGUACCCAAAGAGUAAGCACCGGCUAACUUAGUG
This 490-nucleotide ribosomal RNA is filed under the name uncultured bacterium. Its description in RNAcentral is "partial 16S ribosomal RNA". It matches the Rfam family "Bacterial small subunit ribosomal RNA", at positions 29 to 507 of the family's 1533-position model. The record is from RNAcentral.